UUGGGUGAACUUGUCACCAAUCAGUCCAAGUUAACUCUGUGCCAGGCCUGUAGAAUGGGGCCUGGUCUUCCUGUCAUAACAUACAUUACUUACCAUUUUCCAGGGCCUCCUCUGUGCUCCUGGUCUUCGAGUCCCAUAACUGUGCCUUACUCUGUGCCAGGCCUGUAGACUGGGGCCUGGUCUUUCUUACUCUGUGCCAGGCCUGUAGCAUGGGGCCUGGUCUUCCUGUCUUGGACUAAUUGGGUCAUCCAACAUUCACCCACAUCAACAACAAUUUAUGCAAUGCGGCAUAUUCGUGAAAACUAAUGCAAUCAUCCUAUUGCAUAAUCAUGAUGCAUGGAACAUGAUAAAGCAU
RNAcentral lists this long non-coding RNA (355 nucleotides) under Manihot esculenta (cassava). RNAcentral describes it as "long non-coding RNA (MESC_LNC010287)". The record is from RNAcentral. Lineage: Eukaryota; Viridiplantae; Streptophyta; Magnoliopsida; Malpighiales; Euphorbiaceae.